Molecule: ribosomal RNA, 253 nt
Filed under: uncultured bacterium
Lineage: Bacteria
Description: partial 16S ribosomal RNA
Rfam family: Bacterial small subunit ribosomal RNA
Source: RNAcentral
UACGGAGGGUGCGAGCGUUAAUCGGAAUUACUGGGCGUAAAGCGCGCGUAGGCGGUUAGAUAAGUCUGAUGUGAAAGCCCUGGGCUUAACCUGGGAACUGCAUUGGAAACUGUCUGGCUAGAGUGUGGUAGAGGGGUGUGGAAUUUCCGGUGUAGCAGUGAAAUGCGUAGAGAUCGGAAGGAACACCAGUGGCGAAGGCGGCACCCUGGACCAACACUGACGCUGAGGUGCGAAAGCGUGGGGAGCAAACAGG